RNAcentral lists this ribosomal RNA (995 nucleotides) under Pediococcus pentosaceus. RNAcentral describes it as "bacterial SSU rRNA". It matches the Rfam family "Bacterial small subunit ribosomal RNA", at positions 340 to 1327 of the family's 1533-position model. The record is from RNAcentral. Lineage: Bacteria; Bacillati; Bacillota; Bacilli; Lactobacillales; Lactobacillaceae.
AAGGAGGGGAAGCAGUAGGGGAAUCUUCCACAAUGGACGCAAGUCUGAUGGAGCAACGCCGCGUGAGUGAAGAAGGGUUUCGGCUCGUAAAGCUCUGUUGUUAAAGAAGAACGUGGGUAAGAGUAACUGUUUACCCAGUGACGGUAUUUAACCAGAAAGCCACGGCUAACUACGUGCCAGCAGCCGCGGUAAUACGUAGGUGGCAAGCGUUAUCCGGAUUUAUUGGGCGUAAAGCGAGCGCAGGCGGUCUUUUAAGUCUAAUGUGAAAGCCUUCGGCUCAACCGAAGAAGUGCAUUGGAAACUGGGAGACUUGAGUGCAGAAGAGGACAGUGGAACUCCAUGUGUAGCGGUGAAAUGCGUAGAUAUAUGGAAGAACACCAGUGGCGAAGGCGGCUGUCUGGUCUGCAAAGACGCUGAGGCUCGAAAGCAUGGGUAGCGAACAGGAUUAGAUACCCUGGUAGUCCAUGCCGUAAACGAUGAUUACUAAGUGUUGGAGGGUUUCCGCCCUUCAGUGCUGCAGCUAACGCAUUAAGUAAUCCGCCUGGGGAGUACGACCGCAAGGUUGAAACUCAAAAGAAUUGACGGGGGCCCGCACAAGCGGUGGAGCAUGUGGUUUAAUUCGAAGCUACGCGAAGAACCUUACCAGGUCUUGACAUCUUCUGACAGUCUAAGAGAUUAGAGGUUCCCUUCGGGGACAGAAUGACAGGUGGUGCAUGGUUGUCGUCAGCUCGUGUCGUGAGAUGUUGGGUUAAGUCCCGCAACGAGCGCAACCCUUAUUACUAGUUGCCAGCAUUAAGUUGGGCACUCUAGUGAGACUGCCGGUGACAAACCGGAGGAAGGUGGGGACGACGUCAAAUCAUCAUGCCCCUUAUGACCUGGGCUACACACGUGCUACAAUGGAUGGGUACAACGAGUCGCGAGACCGCGAGGUUAAGCUAAUCUCUUAAAACCAUUCUCAGUUCGGACUGUAGGCUGCAACUCGCCUACACGAAGUC